Oncorhynchus kisutch (coho salmon) is the source of this 634-nucleotide long non-coding RNA. RefSeq lists it as uncharacterized. NCBI's taxonomy places the organism in Eukaryota, Metazoa, Chordata, Actinopteri, Salmoniformes, Salmonidae. The record is from RefSeq and is a predicted model, not a curated record. The transcript is spliced from 3 exons.
UGCGGUGUGACUGUAGGUCCUCCUCUGCGGUGUGACUGAAGGUCCUGUAGGUCCUCCUCGACGGUGUGACUGAAGGUCCUGUAGGUCCUUCUCGACGGUGUGACUGAAGGUCCUGUAGGUCCUUCUCGACGGUGUGACUGAAGGUCCUGUAGGUCCUUCUCGACGGUGUGACUGAAGGUCCUGUAGGUCCUCCUCGACGGUGUGACUGUAGGUCCUCCUCUGCGAUGUGACUGUAGGUACUCCUUGACGGUGUGACUGAAGGUCCUCCUCUGCGGUGUGACUGUAGGUCCUCCUCUGCGGUGUGACUGAAGGUCCUGUAGGUCCUUCUCGACGGUGUGACUGAAGGUCCUGUAGGUCCUCCUCGACGGUGUGACUGUAGGUCCUCCUCGACGGUGUGACUGAAGGUCCUGUAGGUCCUCCUCGACGGUGUGACUGAAGGUCCUGUAGGUCCUUCUCGACGGUGUGACUGAAGGUCCUGUAGGUCCUUCUCGACGGUGUGACUGAAGGUCCUGUAGGUCCUCCUCGACGGUGUGACUGUAGGUCCUGUAGGUCCUCCUCUGCGGUGUGACUGUGGGUCCUGUAGGUCCUCCUCUGCGGUGUGACCUGUAGGUCCUCCUCGACGGUGUGACUGAAG